RNAcentral lists this ribosomal RNA (465 nucleotides) under Vreelandella stevensii. RNAcentral's name for it is "partial 16S ribosomal RNA". It matches the Rfam family "Bacterial small subunit ribosomal RNA", at positions 338 to 795 of the family's 1533-position model. The record is from RNAcentral. Lineage: Bacteria; Pseudomonadati; Pseudomonadota; Gammaproteobacteria; Oceanospirillales; Halomonadaceae.
CCUACGUGGUGCUGCAGUGGGGAAUAUUGGACAAUGGGCGAAAGCCUGAUCCAGCCAUGCCGCGUGUGUGAAGAAGGCCUUCGGGUUGUAAAGCACUUUCAGUGGGGAAGAAAGCCUUGGGGCUAAUACCCUCGAGGAAGGACAUCACCCACAGAAGAAGCACCGGCUAACUCCGUGCCAGCAGCCGCGGUAAUACGGAGGGUGCGAGCGUUAAUCGGAAUUACUGGGCGUAAAGCGCGCGUAGGCGGUCUGAUAAGCCGGUUGUGAAAGCCCCGGGCUCAACCUGGGAACGGCAUCCGGAACUGUCAGGCUAGAGUGCAGGAGAGGAAGGUAGAAUUCCCGGUGUAGCGGUGAAAUGCGUAGAGAUCGGGAGGAAUACCAGUGGCGAAGGCGGCCUUCUGGACUGACACUGACGCUGAGGUGCGAAAGCGUGGGUAGCAAACAGGAUUAGAUACCCCAGUAGUC